AGUGAAUAGAUACCCCGGUAGUCCUAGCCGUAAACGAUACUCGCUAGGUGUCGGCCACGGUGCGACCGCUGUCGGUGCCGUAGGGAAAGCCGUGAAGCGAGCCACCUGGGAAGUACGGCCGCAAGGCUGAAACUUAAAGGAAUUGGCGGGGGAGCACCACAACGGGUGGAGCUUGCGGUUUAAAUUGGAUUCAACGCCGGAAAUCUUACCGGGACCGACAGCAACAUGAAGGCCAGGCUGAAGACUUUGCCGGAUUAGCUGAGAGGUGGUGCAUGGCCGUCGUCAGUUCGUACUGUGAAGCAUCCUGUUAAGUCAGGCAACGAGCGAGACCCACGCCCACAGUUGCCAGCGUACUCUCCGGAGUGACGGGUACACUGUGGGGACCGCCGCUGCUAAAGCGGAGGAAGGAAUGGGCAACGGUAGGUCAGUAUGCCCCGAAUAUCCCGGGCUACACGCGAGCUACAAUGGUUGGUACAAUGGGUAUCUACCCCGAAAGGGGAUGGAAAUCUCCUAAAGCCAAUCUUAGUUCGGAUUGAGGGCUGCAACUCGCCCUC
Molecule: ribosomal RNA, 554 nt
Filed under: uncultured bacterium
Lineage: Bacteria
Description: bacterial SSU rRNA
Rfam family: Archaeal small subunit ribosomal RNA
Source: RNAcentral